UACGUAGGGCGCGAGCGUUGUCCGGAUUUAUUGGGCGUAAAGAGCUCGUAGGCGGCUUGUUACGUCGGAUGUGAAAACCCAUGGCUCAACUGUGGGCUUGCAUCCGAUACGGGCAGGCUAGAGUUCGGUAGGGGAGACUGGAAUUCCUGGUGUAGCGGUGAAAUGCGCAGAUAUCAGGAGGAACACCGGUGGCGAAGGCGGGUCUCUGGGCCGAUACUGACGCUGAGGAGCGAAAGCGUGGGGAGCGAACAGG
This 253-nucleotide ribosomal RNA is filed under the name uncultured bacterium. RNAcentral describes it as "partial 16S ribosomal RNA". It matches the Rfam family "Bacterial small subunit ribosomal RNA", at positions 524 to 776 of the family's 1533-position model. The record is from RNAcentral.